AUACCUACGGGAGGCAGCAGUGAGGAAUAUUGGUCAAUGGGCGGGAGCCUGAACCAGGCAAGUCGCGUGAGGGAAGACGGUCCUAUGGAUUGUAAACCUCUUUUGUCGGGGAGCAAAGAGAUCACGUGUGGUCAAAAGCGAGAGUACCCGAAGAAAAAGCAUCGGCUAACUCCGUGCCAGCAGCCGCGGUAAUACGGAAGGUCCGGGCGUUAUCCGGAUUUAUUGGGUUUAAAGGGAGCGUAGGCCGGCUUUUAAGUCAGCUGUGAAAGUCCGCGGCUCAACCGUGGAAUUGCAGUUGAAACUGG
This 305-nucleotide ribosomal RNA is filed under the name uncultured bacterium. Its description in RNAcentral is "bacterial SSU rRNA". It matches the Rfam family "Bacterial small subunit ribosomal RNA", at positions 335 to 636 of the family's 1533-position model. The record is from RNAcentral.